This 497-nucleotide ribosomal RNA is filed under the name uncultured bacterium. RNAcentral's name for it is "partial 16S ribosomal RNA". It matches the Rfam family "Bacterial small subunit ribosomal RNA", at positions 28 to 507 of the family's 1533-position model. The record is from RNAcentral.
GAUGAACGCUGGCGGCGUGCCUAAUACAUGCAAGUCGAGCGAACGGACGAGAAGCUUGCUUCUCUGAUGUUAGCGGCGGACGGGUGAGUAACACGUGGAUAACCUACCUAUAAGACUGGGAUAACUUCGGGAAACCGGAGCCAAUACCGGAUGAUAUUUUGAACCGCAUGGUUCAAAAGUGAAAGACGGUCUUGCUGUCACUUAUAGAUGGAUCCGCGCUGCAUUAGCUAGUUGGUAAGGUAACGGCUUACCAAGGCAACGACGCAUAGCCGACCUGAGAGGGUGAUCGGCCACACUGGAACUGAGACACGGUCCAGACUCCUACGGGAGGCAGCAGUAGGGAAUCUUCCGCAAUGGGCGAAAGCCUGACGGAGCAACGCCGCGUGAGUGAUGAAGGUCUUCGGAUCGUAAAACUCUGUUAUUAGGGAAGAACAUAUGUGUAAGUAACUGUGCACAUCUUGACGGUACCUAAUCAGAAAGCCACGGCUAACUACGUG